Molecule: ribosomal RNA, 508 nt
Filed under: uncultured Methylibium sp.
Lineage: Bacteria; Pseudomonadati; Pseudomonadota; Betaproteobacteria; Burkholderiales; Sphaerotilaceae
Description: bacterial SSU rRNA
Rfam family: Bacterial small subunit ribosomal RNA
Source: RNAcentral
UGGCGGCUGCCUUCACAUGCAAGUCGAACGGUAACGCGGGGCAACCUGGCGACGAGUGGCAAACGGGUGAGUAAUACAUCGGAACGUGCCCAGUAGUGGGGGAUAGCCCGGCGAAAGCCGGAUUAAUACCGCAUACGACCUACGGGUGAAAGCGGGGGAUCGCAAGACCUCGCGCUAUUGGAGCGGCCGAUGUCGGAUUAGCUAGUUGGUGGGGUAAAAGCCUACCAAGGCUACGAUCCGUAGCUGGUCUGAGAGGACGACCAGCCACACUGGGACUGAGACACGGCCCAGACUCCUACGGGAGGCAGCAGUGGGGAAUUUUGGACAAUGGGCGCAAGCCUGAUCCAGCCAUGCCGCGUGCGGGAAGAAGGCCUUCGGGUUGUAAACCGCUUUUGUCAGGGAAGAAACGGUUCAUAUUAAUACUAUGGACUAAUGACGGUACCUGAAGAAUAAGCACCGGCUAACUACGUGCCAGCAGCCGCGGUAAUAAUAGUCUACUGAAUUCUGC